RNA transcript from Oncorhynchus kisutch (coho salmon), 2470 nucleotides. It is a transcript of the gene named N-sulphoglucosamine sulphohydrolase-like, with no coding region annotated. The record is from RefSeq and is a predicted model, not a curated record. The transcript has 11 exons. NCBI's taxonomy places the organism in Eukaryota, Metazoa, Chordata, Actinopteri, Salmoniformes, Salmonidae.
UGAAGCGCUGUGUUAGCGCUGUUUCCGGGAGUAGAUCAAAUUGAUUUUCACACUGCAUUUUCUUUGAUCAAGAGAAAACAAAACAUUGAUUAUUGCGAAAGUAAUCAGUAAAUAGAGGAUAGGCUUACUUCAAUGUAGAAUAUGUCAAUAAUGUCAAACAAACACAUUGACUGGAGUGUUUGAGAUAAGCUUUAUAGAGCUGAUGCUAUAUUUUCUUAAAAAGUGGACUCUGCAAUUUACUGCAACUGAAAAGAUUGUGUUUACGAUUUGAAACUUUAUGAGACGGAUAUGGCCGUUGGUCAUGAUGUGAUAGUUUUGUUGCUGGCGGUAAUAUGCUGUGUUGUAGAGAGCAAGAAGAGGAAUGUUCUUCUUAUUAUCGCGGACGACGCAGGCUUCGAGACGUCGGUCUAUAACAACACCGUGGUCCGUACGCCUCACCUAGCCGCUCUGGGUCGACGCAGCCUGGUGUUCCAGAAUGCCUUCACCUCCGUUAGUAGCUGUUCUCCCAGCCGAUCCACCAUACUGACAGGCCUGCCACAGCAUCAGAAUGGUAUGUACGGCCUGCACCAGGGAGUUCAUCACUUCAACUCGUUUGACGGAGUACAAAGCCUACCUUUACUGCUGGGCCAAGCUAACAUACGCACAGGGAUCAUUGGGAAGAAACACGUAGGUCCUGGUCCUGUCUAUCCCUUUGACUUCGCCUACACAGAGGAAAACAACUCUGUACUUCAGGUGGGUCGGAAUAUCACCCGGAUCAAACUACUGGUCAGGAAGUUCUUCCAGACCCAGAGAAAGGAAGAGGAAGAGAGACCGUUCUUCUUGUAUGUGGCGUUCCACGACACCCACCGCUGUGGCCAUUCCCAGCCGCAGUACGGAGCAUUCUGUGAGAAGUUUGGGAACGGCCAGAGUGGAAUGGGGAGGAUUCCAGAUUGGAAGCCAGAAUACUACACCCCAGACCAAGUCAAGGUGCCCCAGUUCGUCCCAGACACCCCUGUAGCGAGAGCUGAUUUGGCUGCCCAGUACACUACAGUUAGCAGACUGGACCAAGGUAUUGGUCUGGUGCUGGCUGAGUUGAGGGAGGCUGGUUAUGAGAAUGACACCUUGGUGAUCUACAGCUCUGAUAACGGUAUCCCUUUCCCCAACGGACGCACCAACCUGUACGGAUCAGGCACCGCAGAACCCAUGCUGGUGUCAUCACCUGAACACAGGGAGAGAUGGGGAGGGACCAGCCAGGCCUACGUCAGCCUACUGGACAUCACCCCCACCUUACUGGACUGGUUCUCCAUCCCAUACCCCUCAUACUUCCUCCCGGGCACCCCCACCACCCCUGUCAGCCUCACAGGCCGCUCCCUCCUCCCUGCCCUAGUCUCCGAACCCUCACCCGCCGCCUGGCACACCGUCUAUGCCAGGUAAAACCCUCCCCCGCUGCCUGGCACACUGUCUACGCCAGCCAGUCCCUCCAUGAGGUGACCAUGUACUACCCUAUGCGCUCCAUCCACCAGGGGGCGUACCGCCUGCUCCACAACCUCCACUACCGCAUGCCCUUCCCUAUAGACCAGGACUUCUACGUCUCUCCCACCUUCCAGGACCUGUUGAACAACACCCUGACCGGACGGCCCACAGGCUGGUUCAAGACCCUGCAACAAUACUACUACAGGGACCGCUGGGAGCUUUUUGACUUGCGGUCGGACCCAGAGGAGGCUGUGAACCUGGCUGGGGACCCGGCUCUCGCCCCGGUCCUGGAGAGCCUCAGAGACAGACUGCUGAAGUGGCAGUGGGACACUGGGGAUCCGUGGGUCUGUGGACCAGACGCUGUGCUGGAGGACAAACUGGAACCACACUGUCGACCGCUCUACAACGGACUCUGACCGCAACUAGACCACAACUGGACUUUGAUUGAUUGUGGAUCCAAUCAUAUUUAUUUUAUAAAGCCCUUUUAACAUCAGCAGUAGUCACAGUGUGAUUCAUAGUUAGCCGGCCUGAACCUCCACAGAGCAAUCAAUGCAGAAGAAGAAUCACAGUGGCCAGGAACAUCUCCCUAGAAAGAAGGACUCUAGGAAGUAAGAUGACCCAUCCUUUUCUGGCUGUACCAGGUAGAGGCUAAGAGUACAUGUGGCCAUUAAGAGUACAUGUGGCCAUUAAGAGUACAUGUGGCCAUUAAAGGGGUAGUUGGGGAUUUUGUGCCAGCCACAACUGUCUUUAUUUUAAUGUGAGUUAUAACCCAUGAGUGAUGACUAUAGGGCCAGGAGUUUUGACCAGAAACCACCUCGUGACCUGAACAGGAAGAACUAUGGGUUGUGAUUAAGACCAUCGAUGGCUGAAAAACAAAACAAACGUGGCAUAGCUUCAGUACAAAUGUUCUGGACUUCAUACAAUGUAUGUUUUGUAUGAUUUCAGUUUGACAACAUCUAGAUGUUGUUGGGAUUUUAUGCAUUUUGUCAAAUAAAGUAUUUUUUUUGCUUCUCCUGUU